Molecule: microRNA precursor, 167 nt
Filed under: Leersia perrieri
Lineage: Eukaryota; Viridiplantae; Streptophyta; Magnoliopsida; Poales; Poaceae
Description: pre miRNA MIR167_1
Rfam family: MIR167 microRNA precursor family
Source: RNAcentral
CCAAGAGAAAGCGUGAAGCUGCCAGCAUGAUCUAACUUGCAGAGAGGAAGUUAGAUGGCGAAAAUCAGCUCGCUGGUCUUGAAUUGGGGCAUGGCAGCUGAUCGAUGCUGAUGCUUCUUCAGAGUUGAUGGUUAGAUCAUGCUGUGACAGUUUCACUCUUUCCCUGU